UGUCAUCUCAUAACGGGUCAUGACCCCUCAGGGAAGAGGCACAGUCGGAGCUGUCGCCGCAGGUGCCAGUAUAGCUGGUGCCCCCACACAGUACCCCCCAGGCAGAGGUGGACCCCCUCCACCCAUGGGCAGAGGAGCACCUCCCCCAGGUAUGAUGGGACCUCCUCCAGGCAUGCGGUCACCCAUGGGACCUCCAAUAGGAAUGCCCCCUCAGGUUUUGAGUUUGGAGAGCGAGAUGGUCUGUACAGUGAUGACUGGAUCAUGGCAGAUGUUAUGGCUCAGCUGAAGAAGAGGGUGAGGACUUCUGACCUCAUAUCACAUUACACAUGAACCUGAUCUUGUGUGACUGUGACUGCCACCCAUGGGCAGAGCAGCACCUCCCCCAGGUAUGAUGGGACCUCCACCAGUCAUGCGGUCACCCAUGGGACCUCCGAUGGGAAUGCCUCCUCCUGGCAUGAGGCAUUGCCUUGAAUGUUACAGUAUCAAUACUGACGGUCGGAAAGAGCAGUAAGAUGUUGCAGCACAUCGACUUCCGGAUACGGUGUAUCCUGCAGGACGGCCGAAUAUUCUUUGGCAAGUUCAAAGCCUUCGACAAACACAUGAACCUGAUCUUGUGUGACUGUGAUGAGUUCAGAAAGAUCAAGUCAUGACCCCUCAGGGAAUGUCGCCGCAGGUGCCAGUAUAGCUGGUGUCCCCACACAGUACCCCCCAGGCAGAGGUGGACCCCCUCCACCCAUGGGCAAAGCAGUACCUCCCCCAGGUAUGAUGGGACCUCCUCCAGGCAUGCGGUCACCCAUGGGACCUCCGAUGGGAACAGGUUUUGAGUUUGGAGAGCGAGAUGGUCUGUACAGUGAUGACUGGAUCAUGGCAGAUGUUAUGGCUCAGCUGAAGAAGAGGACACUAUGAAAGACAAAAAGAAAUCUGCAGAUACAGCCAUCACAGCGAUGAGUUUUAAGCAGCCCACUCCCAUUCAGAAGGCCUGUGUACCCGUGGGGCUGAUGGGUAAAGACAUCUGCACAUGUGGCAUAUCAGUAUAUCAGUAUAUCAAUACUGACGGUCGGAAAGAGCAGUAAGAUGUUGCAGCACAUCGACUUCCGGAUGCGGUGUAUCCUGCAGGACGGCCGAAUAUUCAUUGGCACGUUCAAAGCCUUCGACAAACACAUGAACCUGAUCUUGUGUGACUGUGAUGAGUUCAGAAAGAUCAAGUGAGCUCUUCUCAAAGAAUUAACUAGUCUUAAGAACCUGUGGACCGUGUUGGAUGUAACUAGUUACGAAGUCAUGACCCCUCAGGGAAUGUCGCCGCAGGUGCCAGUAUAGCUGGUGUCCCCACACAGUACCCGCCGGGCCGAGGUGGACCCCCUCCACCCAUGGGCAAAGCAGUACCUCCCCCAGGUAUGAUGGGACCUCCUCCAGUCAUGCGGUCACCCAUGGGACCUCCGAUGGGAAUGCCCCUCCAGGUUUUCAGUUUGAAAAGCGAGAUGGUCUGUACAGUGAUGACUGGAUCAUGACAGAUGAUCAAUCUUGUCAAUGGAAAUGAAGAUCAGCUGCUUCAGCCCCAACUGAUGGCAUAUAAAAGUGUGUCUCAUUACCAAGGUGUCAUCUCAUAACGGGUCAUGACCCCUCAGGGAAGAGGCACAGUCGGAGCUGUCGCCGCAGGUGCCAGUAUAGCUGGUGCCCCCACACAGUACCCCCCAUGCAGAGGUGGGCCCCCUCCACCCAUGGGCAGAGGAGCACCUCCCCCAGGUAUGAUGGGACCUCCUCCAGUCAUGCGGUCACCCAUGGGACCUCCGAUGGGAAUGCCUCCUCCUGGCAUGAGGCAUUGCCUUGAAUGUUACAGUAUCAAUACUGACGGUCGGAAAGAGCAGUAAGAUGUUGCAGCACAUCGACUUCCGGAUGCGGUGUAUCCUGCAGGACGGCCGAAUAUUCUUUGGCAAGUUCAAAGCCUUCGACAAACACAUGAACCUGAUCUUGUGUGACUGUGAUGAGUUCAGAAAGAUCAAGUCAUGACCCCUCAGGGAAUGUCGCCGCAGGUGCCAGUAUAGCUGGUGUCCCCACACAGUACCCCCCAGGCAGAGGUGGACCCCCUCCACCCAUGGGCAGAGCAGCACCUCCCCCAGGUAUGAUGGGACCUCCUCCAGGCAUGCGGUCACCCAUGGGACCUCCGAUGGGAACAGGUUUUGAGUUUGGAGAGCGAGAUGGUCUGUACAGUGAUGACUGGAUCAUGGCAGAUGUUAUGGCUCAGCUGAAGAAGAGGACACUAUGAAAGACAAAAAGAAAUCUGCAGAUACAGCCAUCACAGCGAUGAGUUUUAAGCAGCCCACUCCCAUUCAGAAGGCCUGUGUACCCGUGGGGCUGAUGGGUAAAGACAUCUGCGCAUGUGCCGCCACAGGAACUGGUCAUGACCCCUCAGGGAAGAGGCACAGUCGGAGCUGUAGCAGGUGCCAGUAUAGCUGGUGCCCCCACACAGUACCCCCCAGGCAGAGGUGGACCCCCUCCACCCAUGGGCAGAGCAGCACCUCCCCCAGGUAUGAUGGGACCUCCUCCAGGCAUGCGGUCACCCAUGGGACCUCCGAUGGGAAUGCCUCCUCCUGGUAUGAGGCAUUGCCUUGAAUGUUACAGUAUCAAUACUG
Molecule: long non-coding RNA, 2630 nt
Organism: Triplophysa dalaica
Lineage: Eukaryota; Metazoa; Chordata; Actinopteri; Cypriniformes; Nemacheilidae
Exons: 21
Source: RefSeq, a predicted model, not a curated record